Molecule: ribosomal RNA, 468 nt
Filed under: uncultured bacterium
Lineage: Bacteria
Description: partial 16S ribosomal RNA
Rfam family: Bacterial small subunit ribosomal RNA
Source: RNAcentral
GACGAACGCUGGCGGCGUGCUUAACACAUGCAAGUCGAACGGAAAGGCCCUGCUUUUGUGGGGUGCUCGAGUGGCGAACGGGUGAGUAACACGUGAGUAACCUGCCCUUGACUUUGGGAUAACUUCAGGAAACUGGGGCUAAUACCGGAUAGGAGCUCCUGCUGCAUGGUGGGGGUUGGAAAGUUUCGGCGGUUGGGGAUGGACUCGCGGCUUAUCAGCUUGUUGGUGGGGUAGUGGCUUACCAAGGCUUUGACGGGUAGCCGGCCUGAGAGGGUGACCGGCCACAUGGGGACUGAGAUACGGCCCAGACGCCUACGGGAGGCAGCGGUGGGGAAUAUUGCACAAUGGGCGGAAGCCUGAUGCAGCAAUGCCGCGUGCGGGAUGACGGCCUUCGGGUUGUAAACCGCUUUCGCCUGUGACGAAGCGUGAGUGACGGUAAUGGGUAAAGAAGCACCGGCUAACUACGUG